AAGCUUUGUAAAGCCCAUCUUAGAAAAAGAGUAAGUCGACUUGAAACGCGUCGGGUUCUGUUUCAAGGGUUGAACCCUUAUUCUUCUCCGCCGUCGUGAUGUAGCCUCCAACUCUAGGGUUUCGAUUCACCUUCUUCCUCCGGCCCUGAUUUUUACCAUGAUUGAGAUGAUGUUGUUUUGUUUCUGGGAGGCGAGGAAUGUUAGGUGGGGUGAUGAACUCAUGUCUGUCCACAUCUCUUGCUUGAUUUAAAGGUGACUCUUACGCCAGCCACCAUAAGUGCUAAUCGGGUUCCAACCUUAUCUUCAAGCGUCGGCGAGAAAGAAAUAGAGUUCGUUUGUCUCAAGAAGGGGAAGGAGAAGCUGAACAAGGCCACCCGCAUACCAUCUUUUAUUCUGAUGAAGACGAGCCGGAAGAUCAUCAACCAAGGAGUUCCGACAAGCUUCAGCUGUCAGGGACGAAGCGACCGGUUGGAGGGGUUUCAACCAACGUUAGGUUCGAAGGGAGUCAAGAAAAUCUAUAAACAAUGUGAGAAAAUGGGAUCAAAUUCUAAAAGACUUUUUGGUGAGAAAGAUGAGAUUGUUUUGCUACAAGGUAUAAUUGAUUCCAAAGGGAAGAAUCCACUAGAAGAUAGGCUCUACGAAUCAUGAAGGGUUCUCUUAGCUUUGAUGUUACCUUGAGACAGUUCAAGGAGAAGCUUCAGACUAUGA
Brassica oleracea var. oleracea is the source of this 708-nucleotide long non-coding RNA. RefSeq lists it as uncharacterized. NCBI's taxonomy places the organism in Eukaryota, Viridiplantae, Streptophyta, Magnoliopsida, Brassicales, Brassicaceae. The record is from RefSeq and is a predicted model, not a curated record. The transcript is spliced from 2 exons.